RNAcentral lists this ribosomal RNA (484 nucleotides) under uncultured bacterium. RNAcentral's name for it is "partial 16S ribosomal RNA". It matches the Rfam family "Bacterial small subunit ribosomal RNA", at positions 30 to 507 of the family's 1533-position model. The record is from RNAcentral.
AUUGAACGCUGGCGGCAGGCCUAACACAUGCAAGUCGAGCGGAUGAAGGGAGCUUGCUCCUGGAUUCAGCGGCGGACGGGUGAGUAAUGCCUAGGAAUCUGCCUGGUAGUGGGGGAUAACGUCCGGAAACGGGCGCUAAUACCGCAUACGUCCUGAGGGAGAAAGUGGGGGAUCUUCGGACCUCACGCUAUCAGAUGAGCCUAGGUCGGAUUAGCUAGUUGGUGGGGUAAAGGCCUACCAAGGCGACGAGCCGUAACUGGUCUGAGAGGAUGAUCAGUCACACUGGAACUGAGACACGGUCCAGACUCCUACGGGAGGCAGCAGUGGGGAAUAUUGGACAAUGGGCGAAAGCCUGAUCCAGCCAUGCCGCGUGUGUGAAGAAGGUCUUCGGGUUGUAAAGCACUUUAAGUUGGGAGGAAGGGCAGUAAGUUAAUACCUUGCUGUUUUGACGUUACCAACAGAAUAAGCACCGGCUAACUUCGUG